This 69-nucleotide transfer RNA is filed under the name Ictidomys tridecemlineatus (thirteen-lined ground squirrel). Its description in RNAcentral is "Spermophilus tridecemlineatus (thirteen-lined ground squirrel) tRNA". It matches the Rfam family "tRNA". From Rfam's summary of the family: Transfer RNA (tRNA) molecules are approximately 80 nucleotides in length. Their secondary structure includes four short double-helical elements and three loops (D, anti-codon, and T loops). Lineage: Eukaryota; Metazoa; Chordata; Mammalia; Rodentia; Sciuridae. The record is from Rfam by way of RNAcentral.
GGGGGUGUAGCUCAGUGGUAGAGCACUUGCCUAGCCAUGAGGCCAUGGGUCCAAUCUCCAUCACUGCCA